RNAcentral lists this ribosomal RNA (253 nucleotides) under uncultured bacterium. RNAcentral describes it as "partial 16S ribosomal RNA". It matches the Rfam family "Bacterial small subunit ribosomal RNA", at positions 524 to 776 of the family's 1533-position model. The record is from RNAcentral.
UACAGAGGUCCCAAGCGUUGUUCGGAUUCACUGGGCUUAAAGCGUGCGUAGGUGGUUAGGUAAGUUUGAUGUGAAAUCUCCGGGCUCAACCCUGAAAUGGCAUUGAAUACUAUGUCGCUAGAGGAGUGGAGGGGGGACUGGAAUACUUGGUGUAGCAGUGAAAUGCGUAGAUAUCAAGUGGAACACCAGUGGCGAAAGCGAGUACCUGGAGACUUCCUGACACUGAGGCACGAAAGCUAGGGGAGCAAACAGG